Molecule: transfer RNA, 85 nt
Filed under: Deltaproteobacteria bacterium
Lineage: Bacteria; Pseudomonadati; Myxococcota; Myxococcia
Description: tRNA-Tyr
Rfam family: tRNA
About the family: Transfer RNA (tRNA) molecules are approximately 80 nucleotides in length. Their secondary structure includes four short double-helical elements and three loops (D, anti-codon, and T loops).
Source: RNAcentral
GGAGGGGUACCCGAGUGGCCAAAGGGGGCAGACUGUAAAUCUGCUGGCGCUGCCUACGGGGGUUCGAAUCCUCCCCUCUCCACCA